Megachile rotundata (alfalfa leafcutting bee) is the source of this 996-nucleotide long non-coding RNA. The record is from RefSeq and is a predicted model, not a curated record. Lineage: Eukaryota; Metazoa; Arthropoda; Insecta; Hymenoptera; Megachilidae.
GUUGAAUCGAAGACGAAGAGACGAGCCGCGAGGAGUCUCAACUGUUACCCGGCACCGAGAUCACGUGAAUGAAAUGACGUCAAUCCGAGGGAGAGAACGAGAACAUAAUAAUUUCGAAGCACAUGACGUCAAAUUGGGGCAGAUACGAAAUCGAUUGAUUUCGAGGAUACAGUCAAAGGAGCGGAAGGCAAGGAUAAAGGAUGGCGUUUCCUUUAUCUUUGGAGAAACGUGUAAGAGGAGAAAGGAAAGGAAAGGAAAGGAAAGGAAAGGAAAGGAAAGGAAAGAAAAGAAUGGUAGUUCAGGAGGAAUGUAUUGAAAGCAGGUCCCGAUGUCCUUAACCCACUCGUGGUCUUGCAUCCCGCGAUAACAAGCUACCUGGCAACUUCGGAUAAGUGAAACUUGCAUAAUUGGCUGGCGCUGGUGGAACGAGGAAAGAACUCGACCGGCAGGUAACUGCACCUGCGAUGUCUCCAAGGUGCGCGCGUGUGCCGGCCGUGUGCCGUGUGCUUCCAAGCAGACAACAGGACUGCAUACUCAACCAUGCUUCGAAAACGACCAAUGUCUUUGCGAUCGAAUGAUUUGUAGAUGUAUUGAUUGCUGAAAUAUACAGAUGGUCCGAUGUGCGUAGGUUGAUUAUUACGCAUACUGGAAUACAAAGUCAUUGGCAAUGACAAUGUACAAUAUCGAACGAAAUACAAACGCUACUAUAAAUAAUCUUUUAUCGUUUUCCAUAUGAAUGCAACAUCUGCAGUCGUACGAUGAUAUUCCACCACUUGCUGUGCCUUCUAUCAUAAAUAAUAUUUUAUUGUUCAAUAACGCUUACUACCUGUGCUUUUAUUGCGCGUAUGUAUAGAGUAAUGCAUAAAUACGUACUUCUUUCUUAAAUGAAAAUUUGAACGUAAACGGCAAUAAAGGGAAAAAUAAAAAGUAAAAGUGGAUACUGAACGAAUUUGUUAUACAACAGGAAUUAUAUAGAAUAUAAUGAGAAUUGGUUAU